This 253-nucleotide ribosomal RNA is filed under the name uncultured bacterium. RNAcentral's name for it is "partial 16S ribosomal RNA". It matches the Rfam family "Bacterial small subunit ribosomal RNA", at positions 524 to 776 of the family's 1533-position model. The record is from RNAcentral.
UACGUGGGGUGCAAGCGUUGUUCGGAAUUACUGGGCGUAAAGCGCGUGUAGGCGGUUCGCUAAGUUCGAUGUGAAAGCCCUGGGCUUAACCCAGGAACUGCAUUGAAAACUGGCAGACUUGAGUCCGGGAGAGGGUCGCGGAAUUCCUGGUGUAGAGGUGAAAUUCGUAGAUAUCAGGAGGAACACCGGUGGCGAAGGCGGCGACCUGGACCGGUACUGACGCUGAGACGCGAAAGCGUGGGGAGCAAACAGG